GACGAACGCUGGCGGCACGCUUAACACAUGCAAGUCGAACGAAGCACCUUACCGGAUUCUUCGGAUGAAGGUCUGGUGACUGAGUGGCGGACGGGUGAGUAACACGUGAGCAAUCUGCCUUUCAGAGGGGGAUACCGAUUGGAAACGAUCGUUAAUACCGCAUAAUAUAAUUGAACCGCAUGAUUUGAUUAUCAAAGAUUUAUCGCUGAAAGAUGAGCUCGCGUCUGAUUAGCUAGUUGGUGAGGUAACGGCUUACCAAGGCGACGAUCAGUAGCCGGACUGAGAGGUUGAUCGGCCACAUUGGGACUGAGACACGGCCCAGACUCCUACGGGAGGCAGCAGUGGGGAAUAUUGCACAAUGGAGGAAACUCUGAUGCAGCGAUGCCGCGUGAGGGAAGAAGGUUUUAGGAUUGUAAACCUCUGUCUUCAGGGACGAAAAAAGACGGUACCUGAGGAGGAAGCUCCGGCUAACUACGUGCCAGCAGCCGCGGUAAUACGUAGGGAGCGAGCGUUGUCCGGAAUUACUGGGUGUAAAGGGAGCGUAGGCGGGAUAUCAAGUCAGAAGUGAAAAUUAUGGGCUUAACCCAUAAACUGCAUUUGAAACUGUGGUUCUUGAGUGAAGUAGAGGUAAGCGGAAUUCCUAGUGUAGCGGUGAAAUGCGUAGAUAUUAGGAGGAACAUCAGUGGCGAAGGCGGCUUACUGGGCUUUAACUGACGCUGAGGCUCGAAAGCGUGGGGAGCAAACAGGAUUAGAUACCCUGGUAGUCCACGCCGUAAACGAUGAUUACUAGGUGUGGGGGGACUGACCCCUUCCGUGCCGCAGCAAACGCAAUAAGUAAUCCACCUGGGGAGUACGACCGCAAGGUUGAAACUCAAAGGAAUUGACGGGGGCCCGCACAAGCAGUGGAGUAUGUGGAUUAAUUCGACGCAACGCGAAGAACCUUACCAGGUCUUGACAUCGUAUGCAUAGCUCAGAGAUGAGUGAAAUCUCUUCGGAGACAUAUAGACAGGUGGUGCAUGGUUGUCGUCAGCUCGUGUCGUGAGAUGUUGGGUUAAGUCCCGCAACGAGCGCAACCCUUACUGUUAGUUGCUACGCAAGAGCACUCUAGCAGGACUGCCGUUGACAAAACGGAGGAAGGUGGGGAUGACGUCAAAUCAUCAUGCCCCUUAUGACCUGGGCCUCACACGUACUACAAUGGCUGUAAACAGAGGGAUGCAAAGCCGCGAGGUGGAGCGAACCCCUAAAAGCAGUCUUAGUUCGGAUUGUAGGCUGCAACCCGCCUACAUGAAGUCGGAAUUGCUAGUAAUCGCAGAUCAGCAUGCUGCGGUGAAUACGUUCCCGGGCCU
This 1346-nucleotide ribosomal RNA is filed under the name uncultured bacterium. RNAcentral describes it as "bacterial SSU rRNA". It matches the Rfam family "Bacterial small subunit ribosomal RNA", at positions 28 to 1381 of the family's 1533-position model. The record is from RNAcentral.